AUUGAACGCUGGCGGCAGGCCUAACACAUGCAAGUCGAACGGUAACAGGAAGAAGCUUGCUUCUUUGCUGACGAGUGGCGGGCGGGUGAGUAAUGUCUGGGAAACUGCCUGGUGGAGGGGGAUAACUACUGGAAACGGUAGCUAAUACCGCAUAACGUCGCAAGACCAAAGAGGGGGACCUUCGGGCCUCUUGCCAUCGGAUGUGCCCAGAUGGGAUUAGCUAGUAGGUGGGGUAACGGCUCACCUAGGCGACGAUCCCUAGCUGGUCUGAGAGGAUGACCAGCCACACUGGAACUGAGACACGGUCCAGACUCCUACGGGAGGCAGCAGUGGGGAAUAUUGCACAAUGGGCGCAAGCCUGAUGCAGCCAUGCCGCGUGUAUGAAGAAGGCCUUCGGGUUGUAAAGUACUUUCAGCGGGGAGGAAGGGAGUAAAGUUAAUACCUUUGCUCAUUGACGUUACCCGAAGAAGAAGCACCGGCUAACUCCGUG
RNAcentral lists this ribosomal RNA (490 nucleotides) under uncultured bacterium. Its description in RNAcentral is "partial 16S ribosomal RNA". It matches the Rfam family "Bacterial small subunit ribosomal RNA", at positions 30 to 507 of the family's 1533-position model. The record is from RNAcentral.